This 68-nucleotide transfer RNA is filed under the name Lamellidens marginalis. RNAcentral's name for it is "tRNA-Ser". The record is from RNAcentral. Lineage: Eukaryota; Metazoa; Mollusca; Bivalvia; Unionida; Unionidae.
GGAAGGUAGCCGAGCUAAUACAUGGCUUCUAACCAUAUAAAGAGAGGUUUAACUCCUUUCACCUUCCU